GAUGAAGAACGCAGCGAAAUGCGAUAAGUAAUGUGAAUUGCAGAAUUCAGUGAAUCAUCGAAUCUUUGAACGCACAUUGCGCCCCUUGGUAUUCCGAGGGGCAUGCCUGUUCGAGCGUCAUUAUAACCCCUCAAGCUCAGCUUGGUGUUGGGGCCUGCUGCACUGGCAGCCCUUAAAAUCAGUGGCGGCGCCAUCUGGCUCUAAGCGUAGUAAUUCUUCUCGCUAUGGAGUCCUGGUGGAUGCUUGCCAUCAACCCCCAAUGUUUCUCUGGUUGACCUCGGAUCAGGUAGGGAUACCCGCUGAACUUAAGCAUAUCAAUAAGCGGAGGA
RNAcentral lists this unclassified non-coding RNA (329 nucleotides) under soil metagenome. RNAcentral's name for it is "partial contains 5.8S ribosomal RNA, internal transcribed spacer 2, and large subunit ribosomal RNA". The stretch from base 1 to 120 matches the Rfam family "5.8S ribosomal RNA", at positions 35 to 154 of the family's 154-position model. The record is from RNAcentral.